CUCAGAAACUACAAUGAAUGACGGGGCCCGCACAAGCGGUGGAGCAUGUGGUUUAAUUCGAUGAUACGCGAGGAACCUUACCUGGGCUCAAAUGUAUGUUGACGUAUUCUGAAAGGGAUACUUCUUCGGACAAUAUACAAGGUGCUGCAUGGUUGUCGUCAGCUCGUGCCGUGAGGUGUCGGGUUAAGUCCCAUAACGAGCGCAACCCCUAUCAUUAGUUGCCAUCAGGUCAAGCUGGGGACUCUAAUGAAACUGCCUACGCAAGUAGUGAGGAAGGUGGGGAUGACGUCAAAUCAGCACGGCCCUUACGUCCAGGGCUACACACGUGCUACAAUGGCCGGUACAAAGGGCAGCUACCUGGUGACAGGAUGCUAAUCUCAAAAGCCGGUCUCAGUUCGGAUCGGAGUCUGCAACCCGACUCCGUGAAGUUGGAUUCGCUAGUAAUCGCGCAUCAGCCAUGGCGCGGUGAAUACGUUCCCGGGCCUU
Molecule: ribosomal RNA, 486 nt
Filed under: uncultured Sphingobacteriales bacterium
Lineage: Bacteria; Pseudomonadati; Bacteroidota; Sphingobacteriia; Sphingobacteriales
Description: bacterial SSU rRNA
Rfam family: Bacterial small subunit ribosomal RNA
Source: RNAcentral